Molecule: ribosomal RNA, 321 nt
Filed under: uncultured eukaryote
Lineage: Eukaryota
Description: partial 18S ribosomal RNA
Rfam family: Eukaryotic small subunit ribosomal RNA
Source: RNAcentral
CCCUUAGACGUUCUGGGCCGCACGCGCGCUACACUGACCAGUGCAACAAGCAUCCGUCCUUGGCCGACAGGCCCGGGCAAUCUUUGAACGCUGGUCGUGAUGGGGAUAGACUUUUGCAAUUAUGGGUCUUCAACGAGGAAUUCCUAGUAAACGCAAGUCAUCAGCUUGCAUUGAUUACGUCCCUGCCCUUUGUACACACCGCCCGUCGCACCUACCGAUUGAAUGGUCCGGUGAAAUCUCGGGACGGCGGCUUGGUCGCUUGCGUCCGACUGCUGAAACUUGAUUAAACCAUAUCAUUUAGAGGAAGGUGAAGUCGUANCA